This 501-nucleotide ribosomal RNA is filed under the name uncultured Glomus. RNAcentral describes it as "SSU rRNA". It matches the Rfam family "Eukaryotic small subunit ribosomal RNA", at positions 569 to 1074 of the family's 1831-position model. The record is from RNAcentral. Lineage: Eukaryota; Fungi; Glomeromycota; Glomeromycetes; Glomerales; Glomeraceae.
AGCAGCCGCGGUAAUUCCAGCUCCAAUAGCGUAUAUUAAAGUUGUUGCAGUUAAAAAGCUCGUAGUUGAAUUUCGGGAUCAGUACGCUGGUCGUGCCUUUGGUAUGUACUGGUGUCACUGAUUCCUCCCUUCUGAAGAACCGUUAUGCCAUUUAUUUGGUGUGGCGGGAAAUCAGGACUGUCACUUUGAAAAAAUUAGAGUGUUUAAAGCAGGCUCACGCUUGAAUACAUUAGCAUGGAAUAAUGAAAUAGGACGUUUGAUUCUAUUUUGUUGGUUUCUAGGAUCGACGUAAUGAUUAAUAGGGAUAGUUGGGGGCAUUAGUAUUCAAUUGUCAGAGGUGAAAUUCUUGGAUUUAUUGAAGACUAACUACUGCGAAAGCAUUUGCCAAGGAUGUUUUCAUUAAUCAAGAACGAAAGUUAGGGGAUCGAAGACGAUCAGAUACCGUCGUAGUCUUAACCAUAAACUAUGCCGACUAGGGAUCGUAUGAUGUUAAUUUUUAAU